Molecule: ribosomal RNA, 253 nt
Filed under: uncultured bacterium
Lineage: Bacteria
Description: partial 16S ribosomal RNA
Rfam family: Bacterial small subunit ribosomal RNA
Source: RNAcentral
UACGGAGGGUGCAAGCGUUAUCCGGAUUCACUGGGUUUAAAGGGUGCGUAGGUGGGGAGGUAAGUCAGCGGUGAAAUCCCCGAGCUUAACUUGGGAACUGCCAUUGAUACUAUCUCUCUUGAAUAUCUUGGAGGUGAGCGGAAUAUGUCAUGUAGCGGUGAAAUGCUUAGAUAUGACAUAGAACACCAAUUGCGAAGGCAGCUCACUACACGGUAAUUGACACUGAGGCACGAAAGCGUGGGGAUCAAACAGG